RNAcentral lists this ribosomal RNA (490 nucleotides) under uncultured bacterium. RNAcentral's name for it is "partial 16S ribosomal RNA". It matches the Rfam family "Bacterial small subunit ribosomal RNA", at positions 29 to 507 of the family's 1533-position model. The record is from RNAcentral.
AGUGAACGCUGGCGGCAGGCCUAACACAUGCAAGUCGAACGGCAGCACAAGAGAGCUUGCUCUCUGGGUGGCGAGUGGCGGACGGGUGAGGAAUGCAUCGGAAUCUGCCCAUUUGUGGGGGAUAACCUCGGGAAACCGGGACUAAUACCGCAUACGACCUACGGGUGAAAGCAGGGGAUCUUCGGACCUUGCGCAGAUGGAUGAGCCGAUGCCGGAUUAGCUAGUUGGAGGGGUAAAGGCCCACCAAGGCGACGAUCCGUAGCUGGUCUGAGAGGAUGAUCAGCCACACUGGGACUGAGACACGGCCCAGACUCCUACGGGAGGCAGCAGUGGGGAAUAUUGGACAGUGGGCGCAAGCCUGAUCCAGCCAUGCCGCGUGUGUGAAGAAGGCCUUCGGGUUGUAAAGCACUUUUGUUGGGAAAGAAAAGCAGCCGGUUAAUACCCGGUUGUCAUGACGGUACCCAAAGAAUAAGCACCGGCUAACUUCGUG